AUUGAACGCUGGCGGAAUGCUUACACAUGCAAGUCGAACGGUAGAGGGGGCAACCCCUCGAGAGUGGCGAACGGGUGAGUAAUAUAUCGGAACGUGCCCAGUCGUGGGGGAUAACGUAGCGAAAGUUACGCUAAUACCGCAUACGAUCUACGGAUGAAAGCGGGGGAUCGCAAGACCUCGCGCGAUUGGAGCGGCCGAUGUCGGAUUAGCUAGUUGGUAGGGUAAAGGCCUACCAAGGCGACGAUCCGUAGCGGGUCUGAGAGGAUGAUCCGCCACACUGGGACUGAGACACGGCCCAGACUCCUACGGGAGGCAGCAGUGGGGAAUUUUGGACAAUGGGCGAAAGCCUGAUCCAGCAAUGCCGCGUGCAGGAAGAAGGCCUUCGGGUUGUAAACUGCUUUUGUACGGAACGAAAAGGCUCUGGUUAAUACCUGGGGCUCAUGACGGUACCGUAAGAAUAAGCACCGGCUAACUACGUG
RNAcentral lists this ribosomal RNA (479 nucleotides) under uncultured bacterium. RNAcentral describes it as "bacterial SSU rRNA". It matches the Rfam family "Bacterial small subunit ribosomal RNA", at positions 30 to 507 of the family's 1533-position model. The record is from RNAcentral.